Molecule: long non-coding RNA, 2475 nt
Organism: Pelmatolapia mariae (spotted tilapia)
Lineage: Eukaryota; Metazoa; Chordata; Actinopteri; Cichliformes; Cichlidae
Exons: 4
Source: RefSeq, a predicted model, not a curated record
GUGAAAGUGAAAGUAUUGAGCCUCCGUUCAGAGCAGCAGGAGGAGGAAGGUGGAGCUGAGGCAGAUUGUGGAGCUGUGGUUUGUCAGAGAUCAGUUGUGAUUAUCUGGCAGCAGCACUGAAGUCCAACCCCUCCCAUCUGAGAGAGCUGUACCCGAGUAACAACAACCAGCUGCAGGAUCCAGGAGUGAAGCAUCUGUGUGGUUUCCUGGAGAGUCCAGGAUGUGGACUUGAAACUCUGCGAUUGUGGAGCUGUGGUUUGUCAGAGAUCAGCUGUGAUUAUCUGGCAGCAGCGCUGAAGUCCAACCCCUCCCAUCUGAGAGAGCUGGACCUGUGGGGAAACAACCUGAAGGAUCCAGAUGUGAAGCAUCUGUCUGAUCUUCAGCAGAGUCCAGACUACAGACUGGAGACUCUGAGGUGGAGGUGAUGAUGGUAAACAGGACGGUGUGUGUGCUGAGAGAGGAGGAGCUGUGUCCUGAUGAUCCAGAGAGGUUGAAGCAGCAGCAGCUUGUGUGUAGAGACGCUCUGACUGGGCCAUGUUACUGGGAGGUGGAGAGGAGAGCUUCAUCCAGCAGUGACUGACAGAGGAAUGAGAAGAAGUGCAGAUGACUGUCAGUGCUGCAGAGUGAACUGCUCUGAGAACAGCUCCACUGUCAGACACAAUGUAGAGUCCAGCAUCAUCCCUGUGUGUCCCUCUGGAUCUGACAGAGGAUCAUCAGUGGAUCUGGACUGCUCUGCUGCUGCUCUGUCCUUCUACAGUCUCUGCACAGUCUCUGUCUGACUCUGGCUUCAGACCCUCCUGGAUCAAACUCACCUGGAAAGACUUUCAAACAUCACUCAAUAGAUUUGAAUACAGAAUAGAUUUGAUAUAUACUGUAGAUGUACUGUAGAGUUGCAGUUUGUCACUUGUAAAUACAGUCUGUGAGCAGCUAUGAGCUGAAAGAUCUUUCUAGAAACACCAAAUGUUUUCACUCUUCUGUUGCUUUUUCAUAUAUUUCCACAACAUUAAUAUUGAUCCCACCUGUCUCACAUGUUCCAUGCUUUUAUACAUAAGAACAGGACACGUGUGAUCUGAGCGCUGCUGUGGUUGCUGUGCUGCACGUCUUCAUUUAGAUAACAGAGACAUCUAGUGGUUCAGAGGGAGAACUGCAGGAGGUGGAGCUGUGUUUUAGCAUGGAAAACUUUUUAUCUUUUAGGCGCAGAUACAAAUAUGACAAGUAUCAGUGUGAGAUACAAAAGGUCACAUCAGUCAGCAGAGGGAACAGUGAUCACACAGCAAUGUAAGAAUAGAAACAUAACAGUGAAUCUGGACAUGUAUACAGAUGGAAGCAAACAAACAGGAUGUAACACUACAUUAAAGCCACAAAUGGGAAGAAAACAAAGCCAAAGGAAAAUAUAUUUGAUCUCAGGAAUCCAAAUCAGAUGCUUUAGAGCAGGGGUCGGCAACCCGGGGCACGCGUGUCAUAGCUGGCACGUGAAGGUUUAACUGAUGGCACGACCAUAGCUGGACUGGCCAUCGGGCAUACCGAUGGUGAUUUUUCGUUUUCAUGGGCCGAUGAUGGUUUUUUUUUUGUUUUUUUGUAACGGUAUAAACAAUGAAAGGUGGUGGAUUGGCCAGAUGCUGGGAGAUGUGUAAAAAUGUGUAAAAAUAACUAAAUUGUUUGGUGGUGGCAUCGCGGAGCUUCCACAGAUUCAGUAACAUUAGCAAGUGGUGGAGGCCAGCAUGUGGAUGAGGGAAGGGGAGGCAGGAGGAGCAGAGACCCGAGGCGGCCGCCGGUCCGAGUGUCAGGUGAACUGAACUUCAGGUAAGAAGUUAUGACCUGCAGUCUAUCUGGGUCAGAUAUAAACCACCUUUUUAUAGUCAGUUACAAUAACUCGUACUGCGUACUAGCUAGCAUGACGGAGUUUCUAUACAGCUGGGUGGUGCUAUGAUGUUACUGAUUGUGAACUUUACAGUGGCUGCAAAAGUAUUUGGCCUCCUUGAAAUUUCCCACAUUUUGUCACAUUACAGCCACAAACAUGAAUCAAUUUUAUUGGAAUUCCAGGUGAAAGACCAACACAAAGUGGUGAACACGUGAGAAGUGGAACGAAAAUCAUACAUGAUUCCAAACAUAUUUUACAAAUAAAUAACUGCAAAGUGGGGUGUGCGUAAUUAUUCUGUCAUGGAAAAACACACUGCCAUCAACUUCUGUUUUGUUUUUGUCAAAAUCACUGUAAUAUAAUCACUGUACCUUUAUAUACAUGUGACUUAUAUUAAUGCUGCUGCCCUCUUGUGGCUAAAGUGUAAUUAUGUUAUUGUUAUUAGGGAAAACAUUUGAGAGUAACAUGCCAAAUGAGUCAGCACUUUGGCUUUAGCUUAAGAAAUCCUAAUUUUUAUGUCAUCAAUUAUAGUUGCAUGUAUUCAUUAUCAUAAUUUAACCUUUAAUAUUGAUGUCUUAAAUUUAUUUUGAAUAAAUUAGCAAUUUUAUGGUGUUUAU